CUUCAACCUUGAUCUCUUUUUGCUACAAAUCAAGAUGAGAAUUCAUAAAUAUUAUAAAAAUUUUAAUUACUAAUCUAUUCUUCUCUCCUAGCAUCCGAUGUGAUCAGAUGAAUUUUUUCUUCACAAGCUCCCCUUGAGAAUUCCACUAUAAUCCUCUCUUAAUUAUAGUGUGUUUGUUUUUUCAGACUCACAAAUAAAUCCAAUUGAUUUUUCAGAGAUCACCAAUCAUAACCCUAC
Molecule: long non-coding RNA, 237 nt
Filed under: Elaeis guineensis (African oil palm)
Lineage: Eukaryota; Viridiplantae; Streptophyta; Magnoliopsida; Arecales; Arecaceae
Description: long non-coding RNA (EGUI_LNC023290)
Source: RNAcentral